CGGGUGAGUAACGCGUGGAUAAUCUGCCCGAGGAUUUGGGAUAACAUCUCGAAAGGGGUGCUAAUACCGAAUAAGCCCACGGGGUCUACGGAUCUUGCGGGAAAAGGGGGGGACUUUCGGGCCUCCUGUCUUCGGAUGAGUCCGCGUACCAUUAGCUAGUUGGUGGGGUAAUGGCCUACCAAGGCGACGACGGGUAGCCGGCCUGAGAGGGCGACCGGCCACACUGGAACUGAGAGACGGUCCAGACUCCUACGGGAGGCAGCAGUGGGGAAUAUUGGGCAAUGGGGGCAACCCUGACCCAGCGACGCCGCGUGAGGGAAGAAGGCCUUCGGGUCGUAAACUUCUUUUGUACGUGAAGAAGCAGAUGACGGUAGCGUACGAAUAAGUCCCGGCUAACUACGUGCCAGCAGCCGCGGUAAUACGUAGGGGACGAGCGUUGUCCGGAAUUACUGGGCGUAAAGGGCGCGCAGGCUGCGCGUCGAGUCGGCUGUUAAAGAUCCGGGCUUAACCCGGUGAAGCGGUCGAGACCGACGAGCUGGAGUGCUGCAGAGGCAAGUGGAAUUCCCGGUGUAGCGGUGAAAUGCGUAGAUAUCGGGAAGAACACCGGUGGCGAAGGCGACUUGCUGGGCAGCAACUGACGCUGAGGCGCGAAAGCCAGGGGAGCAAACGGGAUUAGAUACCCUGGUAGUCCACGCCGUAAACGAUGAGUACUAGGUGUUGCG
RNAcentral lists this ribosomal RNA (722 nucleotides) under uncultured bacterium. Its description in RNAcentral is "bacterial SSU rRNA". It matches the Rfam family "Bacterial small subunit ribosomal RNA", at positions 103 to 827 of the family's 1533-position model. The record is from RNAcentral.